Molecule: RNA transcript, 1647 nt
Organism: Helianthus annuus (common sunflower)
Lineage: Eukaryota; Viridiplantae; Streptophyta; Magnoliopsida; Asterales; Asteraceae
Gene name: lipase-like
Exons: 7
Source: RefSeq, a predicted model, not a curated record
ACCUGGGCUGCAGUUUUUUUUUACGAACGGUUUUUCUUUUUUGAAUAGGCAGUUCGCACCGCUCUUGCCUAAAUUCAUCCCUGUAAAUUCCCUUCCAUCUCCUAGAUCCUUCUUCCAACUCUCACUGUAACCGUAAAUAGCCAUGGAGAGGCUAUUGAACAUCAGGAAUUUCCAUCGUCGGGGUCUCUGCCACCGUUCUUCACUGACUUUUGAAGAAAAAUGUGGCUAUUGAACAUCGAUAAUUUCCACAUUAGAUACACCCAGAUGGGUUUUUCGUGAAAUCGAUCAAAAAGAGAAUCUUGGUUUCGUCAAUUCAGUCUUCACUUUCACCGUUGAAACCACUCAAAACUGAAAGGAUGAGAUGAAGCAACCACCGACACCACAAGAACCAGAGACGAAGUAUCAUGAUCCUCCUCUUUGUUCAAAAUCUCCAAUAUUUUAUCCGAAAACCAUAACAAUCAAAAAAUCCCCUGAUCAUUCUCAAGAUAACAAAUGUUAUUCCAUGCUAAUAAUGGUUUUGAGGUAGGUGGUUGUUCGAUGAAGCACCCGAAACCUCACAUAAGGUUUGAUAAUUAGAAGUUUGAGUAUCAGGUGCAUCAUGGAUUUUUUAUUGCUUACAAUAAUACAAUUAUGCGUUCAAGAAUUCUUGAUGGUGUCAGUAGAGCAAAAGAGGCAUAUGGAGAUCUCUAAAUUAUGGUGACUGGCCAUUCAAUGGGAGGUGCUAUGGCGGCUUUUUGUGGAUUGGAUCUUGCGCUUAUUUAUGGAUCAAAGAACAUCCAAUUUACGACGUUUGGCAUGCCAAGAAUCGGCAAUGCUGCUUUUGCAUCGUAUUAUGGCCAAGUUGUCCCAAGUACGUUUAGAGUGACACAUGGACACGACCUCGUCCUGCAUCUGCCUCCUUAUUAUCAUCAUUUCCCACAGAAGAAAUAUCAUCACUUCCCAUCAGAGGCUAUCGGAUGGCUACUGACCGUGCUCUUAGAACAUUGCUCGAUUGGGUCAAAGAUAAUAAUAAUGAUGUGAGUUGUGAUUGUUGACAUCGGUUAUACCAACUCACCAUUUCAUAAUGUGAUUGUGCACAUAUAGUUUUAGUUUGGACCUUUCAAAAUUGAACAUAUUUAUUUCCAUUUUAAAGUUAAAACGCUCAGGGGCACAAAUUUGAAUAUAAGAGCAAUGCCAAAAUGGAGCAUGCCUGCUCAUCCUGUUUAGACACCCGGUGCGCUUCUAUGGGCAUGGUGGCGACAAGAGCUUAUCACUUUCAUGGCCUAAAUAUGAGAUUUUUAGCGUAUGACAUGGCGGAUAUGGAAGAAUCAGUGACUCCUGUAUUUACCUCCUUUCUCAAGUCUGGCGUUUGGGUUUUUCUUUUCAGUAGUGAUCAAGAUUCAAUCCUCCCUUUAAGUGGGACACGGGCGAGGGUCAAUGGCUUGGCUAAACAAUAAUGGUUGGCCACAACUAUGCCAUACAGGACUUGGUUUAGCGACAACAAGGUUAGUUCAGCUAUAUUGUUGAAAUUCAUGUUUUUCUUGAUUAAUAUUACAAAUAAUAUGUUGUUAGAAUUGGCAAAUAUGUUGAGUAGCGAGUCGGGUCUAAAAAUUUUUUAUAAACCAAAGUGAUUCAAAUAUUUCAAACCUUGUAAUGUUUUAUUGUUAA